ACAUCCUUUUGACCGAUGCCUAAUCCAUCUUUCCUUCGGGGACAGAAGUGACAGGUCGUGCAUGGUUGUCGUCAGCUCUGUCGUGAGAUGUUGGUUAAGUCCCGCAACGAGCGCAACCCUUGCCUUUAGUUGCCAGCAUUAAGUUGGGCACUUUAGAGGGACCUGCCAGGGAUAACCUGGAGGAAGGUGGGGAUGACGUCAAAUCAUCAUGCCCCUUAUGCUUAGGGCUACACACGUGCUACAAUGGGUGGUACAGAGGGCAGCCAAGUCGUGAGGCGGAGCUAAUCCCUUAAAGCCAUUCUCAGUUCGGAUUGUAGGCUGAAACUCGCCUACAUGAAGCUGGAGUUACUAGUAAUCGCAGAUCAGAAUGCUGCGGUGAAUGCGUUCCCGGGUCUUGUACACACCGCCCGUCACAACCACGGGAGUUGGGAGGCGCCCGAAGCACGGAUUGCUAACCUUUUGGAAGCGUCCGUCGAAGGUGAAAUCAAUAACUGGGGUGAGUCGUAACAGAGGUAACCAAUC
Molecule: ribosomal RNA, 522 nt
Filed under: uncultured bacterium
Lineage: Bacteria
Description: bacterial SSU rRNA
Rfam family: Bacterial small subunit ribosomal RNA
Source: RNAcentral